GACGAACCACACGAACGUUAUUCGGAAUUACUGGGCUUAAAGGGCGCGUAGGCGGCCUUCUAAGUCGAACGUGAAAUCCCUGGGCUCAACCCAGGAACUGCGUCCGAUACUGGAAGGCUUGAAUCCGGGAGAGGGAUGCGGAAUUCCAGGUGUAGCGGUGAAAUGCGUAGAUAUCUGGAGGAACACCGGUGGCGAAGGCGGCAUCCUGGACCGGCAUUGACGCUGAGGCGCGAAAGCCAGGGGAGCAAACGGG
RNAcentral lists this ribosomal RNA (253 nucleotides) under uncultured bacterium. RNAcentral describes it as "partial 16S ribosomal RNA". It matches the Rfam family "Bacterial small subunit ribosomal RNA", at positions 524 to 776 of the family's 1533-position model. The record is from RNAcentral.